This 128-nucleotide long non-coding RNA is filed under the name Aotus nancymaae (Ma's night monkey). Lineage: Eukaryota; Metazoa; Chordata; Mammalia; Primates; Aotidae. The record is from RNAcentral.
CUUUCUCCCCUCUUUCCUGGAGAGCGACUGUUCGGUAGGGUGAGAAUGGUAUAAAUUUCAAAAACAACGAAACCUCCUUUUGCCCCCCUCCGCAGCAGUCGCCUCCGGGCUUUACUGCAAGUUUACGG